AUCCGAUUGGUUUAUAUCGCUGUCUAUUAGCCGUGGCCACGCCCUCUGGUAAUGCAGCACGGGAGAAAGAGAAUGGAACAAAAUGAAGGACUUCGCGGCAACCGAGGCUCUUCGUUAGAGAACUAGAUUAAAGGCUCCUAACAGUUUCCGUACGGUGAUGCACAAUGCCCAUAGUGGACAAGCUGAAGGAGGCCUUGAAGCCAGGCCGAAAGGACUCUACCGAUGAGGGAGACCUUAAUAAGCUGCUCUCCUCCUCGGCCAAGAAGGUGCUGCUGCAGAAGAUCGAGUUCGAGCCGGCCACCAAAGGCUUCAGCUACCAACUGGAGACGCUCAAGACCAAGUAUGUGAUCUUGAACCCCAAGAACGAGGGUGUGGUACAGAGAGCGGCAGAGCCCACACCAAUCAAGAGGCAAGGCUCUGAAGGCCUCAGUGGAGGUCAGGGUGAUGGCAUCCCCGCACCUCAGAAGCUGCUCUUUCCAGGGAACAAACUCUCCAUGAAGUGGGAGCGAGUGUACCGGGUGGGAGCGGGCCUCCACAACCUGGGCAACACGUGCUUCCUGAACUCCACCGUGCAGUGUUUGACGUACACACCGCCGCUCGCCAACUACCUGCUGUCCAAGGAGCACAGCCGCUCCUGCCACCAGACAGGUUUCUGUAUGAUCUGCAUCAUGCAGAACCACAUCAUCCAAGCCUUCGCCAACACCGGCAACGCCAUCAAGCCCGUGUCAUUUAUCCGUGACUUGAAAAAAAUUGCCCGCCACUUCCGGUUCGGCAGCCAGGAGGACGCUCACGAGUUUUUGCGUUACACCAUCGAUGCCAUGCAGAAAGCUUGCCUUAACGGUUACCCAAAGUUGGACAGACAGACACAGGCCACCACGCUGGUUCACCAGAUCUUUGGGGGUUACCUGAGGUCAAGAGUGAAGUGCUCUAUUUGUAAAAGUGUGUCCGAUACAUACGACCCCUACCUGGAUAUAGCUGUCGAGAUCCGGCAAGCAGCCAACAUUGUUCGUGCCCUGGAGUUGUUUGUGAAGCCGGAUGUCUUGAGCGGCGAGAACGCCUACAUGUGUGCCAAGUGUAAGAAGAAAGUGCCGGCUACAAAACGAUUCACGGUCCAUCGGACGUCGAACGUUCUCACGCUGUCCCUCAAACGCUUUGCCAACUUCAGUGGAGGAAAGAUUACCAAGGAUGUUGGCUAUCCAGAGUUCCUGAACAUUCGUCCAUACAUGUCUCAAAACUCAGGAGACCCAGUGAUGUAUGGCCUUUAUGCAGUCCUGGUACACUCUGGGUAUAGCUGUCAUGCUGGUCAUUACUACUGUUAUGUAAAGGCCAGCAACGGGCAGUGGUACCAGAUGAACGAUUCGAUGGUACAUUCUAGUAACAUCAAGGUUGUUCUCAAUCAGCAGGCUUACGUCCUCUUUUACCUGAGGAUUCCUGAAAAGAAGAACACGGACAGUUCAGGUGUUAAGCAGAACUUGGUGCAUUCUGGAAGGAGUAACAUGACCCCCGAGCAGCUGAAGAAAAUCCCACUUAACGGGCCCUUGUCCUCGCCGCAGAUCACCAAGAAGGUGGACACCGCUCAGCUGAGGAAGAUCCAGUCUGUGGACGGAGGACUGGGCGUGCCAUUGGCCCGUAACGGCUCGGGCAUCCAGUCGCCCAAACUGACCAACGGUACCCCGAGGGUGCCGGGUGGCCCAUCGCUCAUCGAGGAACCCAUCAAGAAGCUAAAGAAGCCUCCUGUUCAGCCACAGAGCCGCAACAACAUUCCUGUCUCAUCUAACGGCGUCGCCAAGUCCGAGCAGGACAAGGGGAGCAGCGGCGAGGGGCGGAGCCUGGCAGUGUCUACCUCACUCAAGUCCCUUGCGUCAGAGUCCUCAUCAGCGGACACCUCGUCUGAGUCCAAGGAAUCGAUUGGCACCAGAAGUGCUCCCGCAGGAGACAUGGCUACUCCUGCCAAGAGCAUCGUAAACAGAACGUCCUCUCCGGCUAAAAGUGCCGAGCGGCUUGCUCCUGAGGAUCAGAAAUCGGCCAAGCUGAAACCUCCCGCCCUCAACAACAUUGCAUCCGAACAGACCAGCACCAUGUCGCCCCCUCCUGCCAAGAGACUGGCGCUGUCUGCCAAGAAGGCCAGUCCCAGUCCCAGCCUCAGCCUGAGCCUGAACAGCAGCAGCAGCAGCAUUGAGGCUCCAUCCUCGUCAUUGCCUCAUCAGUCUCGUGACCCUAUGCAUUCAGCUCUAUUUCACCCUCUGACCCCCAAAUCACCUUCCCAAAACCACAGGAUUCCAUUCCAUUCUGCCAAGCAGCCUCAGCAUGUACCUCAUCUCUUUAAAAAUGCAAGCCUGUUUAAAGAGCCGUCCUCCUCCUCCUCCUCUCCCUCCUCCUCCUCCUCGUUUUUGAAGAAUCCCACACUUUCUUCUCCAGUCAGCAGGCUUCACCCCUGUCCUGCCAGCAACUGGGGACCAAUCCAGAGCCAAAAAACCACCGAAUCUGCCACAGGGUUUGCCGACGGCCUCACCAGUCCAACCUUGAAGAAGAAGAAAAAGAAGAAGAAGAAAAAGAGGCGCCAUUCCGAAAUGGAAAACCCCAUUGCUGAGCUUCCUGCCAAAAAGGAGCACGAUAUGCCAGAGCUCACAGCUGAAAAGAGAAGGGUAAAAAAGCGCAAGAAACAGAAACGAGAAGAAGAGCCAAACAGCCUGACAGUUCAGAGAGAAGUCGUGCAGUGCCGUCCAGAGCCAGCAGGCCAGGAUGAAGACUGGUGCCUCGGAGAGUCGUGGAGAAUAAACCCAGAUGGAAGUUCAGAAAGGCCAAAACAACAACCACAACGGAGCACAGAGCCAAAACCAUCUGAGACCCAAGAGCAAAUUCAUCCAGUGUUGUGUGAGACUCCACAGAACCAUCAUGACUCUGACACUAUUAAAAAGAAAAAGAAGAAGAAAAAGCACAAAGAGAAGCUGGAUGAUGAGAACAUAAAGCAUGAGACUUCUGAAAGAAAGACUGAGAUGACACACGUAGACACAGAGUCGCCGGAUUCAAGCAUUUCAAAGAAAAAAUCCAAAAAGAGGAAAAGAGAAGCAUGCCAGAUAGAGGCUGAGGAUGCUUUGGGGGACAGUGCUGGAGACGAGUCACUUAGUCGGACCAACCAUGUGGUGCCUGAGAAGACCUGCAAACCCAGCACAGCUGCCGUGGUGGUCUGGGACAGCAAGGUUCAGGACGGAUAUAAGCGCAGUAAAGACACUGCUGAUUCAGAGCAGGCGUCCAGGAAAGAGUCUCGUCCCGCUGCCGCAGCCUGGGACGGCACAAAGAGCUCUAGUGUAGUCGAGGAACUGCUUAAGAACGCCACCGAUAAAGCGUAUGGAACUGAAGUCCUCAGUUGGGAUGGAGCGUGCUCUGCCAUCAGUAGAGAUGCCAUGCAGGAUACCUUUGAUGCCAAACAUAACGCAGUAAUCGACGAAUGGGAUGAAGAGUUUGACAGUGGCAAGGUAAAGAAGGUGAAGAAGUUUAAAAAAGAAAGGAGAAGUGUUAACGUCUUCCAGAAGAUCCAAGAUCGGCGCAGCAUGUGGUCUGUCACACCAGGAGGAAGAAGGAACAGUUGGGGCCAUCGCUACUGACAUGAAGGAUCCAUCUUCUCUUACUCUGAGCUGGUAAAAUCUGUAUACACUUCCGAAGCAAUCGCACACGUUUUGCCUUUAUUUUGGUGCCAGAAUUAUUCAAAUACACCUCGAGAAACCUUGUAUAGUACAGAAGGGUGCCAACGUGUGCCAUCAUGGCACACUGGAGAGUGCGCCUAAACAUUCCUCUACAAAUCUCGAUACACAACAGAUAAAUCAAUCUUGAAACAGUUAAUGAUUCGAGAUAGAGAUCCUGUUCGCACACUCUGGCUUGACCGCCUUAUUGGAGAAGAAACUCUCUGAGAAUGUUCCAGAAAUGCAAGAUGCUCGUUUGGGAAGUAAAAUAACCCGUUGAGACCAAAGCCACCUGCAAGGGCUGAAGUGCAGUAUGUCAAGUCUGAAUCAAUCGGGCCUGGGUUUGAGCAAACCACCGUGUCGUGGUGUCGGGUUCAAACCGUUGUAAUAAACUAUUUUAGCCACAUAUAACUUGAGUCUAUGGUGAAAUACUGUACUGUAUCCUGCUGCAUCAGGACAAGGAGGCGUUUAUGAUAAAAUGGUGGUUAAUGGUGCUGUUAUUAUUGGGUUAUUGAGACACUGGGCCUACACUACUGCCUAGACUAAUGACAAAUAAUGAAUCUGCUUUUUUCCCCCCUCUGUUCUUAAAGAUGUUUCAUUUUAUUACGUAUUAAAUAUAAUAUUGUCCCAUUGGCCAGUGGUUUACUACAUAUAAGCUUAUGUAAGGCCUGCAUUUUUGCUCAGUAUGGAUUCUUACUGAUUAUGAUUAUAUGAGCCUCAUUGAAUCCUCCCUGAAUCCUCCAUAUCGCCUGUUUAUUGCCACAAAUAUUGUUGAAGAUAAUGUGGUUCCUACUAUAUCUGUUGUUAUAACCUUGUAUCCAAAAAUCCCAAGCUUGAUGCACCCUUAAUAUUUCACCAAUAGAAUGGAUGGAUGGACAAACUGACUAUCUGUUACCUGUCUUACAGGUUAUCAAAGGCUGCUUUAAUAUAAAAACAUAACCAUCCAUUUCAUCACUGGAGGUCUCCGACGGCAGAGCUCCGUCCGUUAGAAAUCCGCAGGGAAGGUUCUAGUGUGUAUUUUACAUUAUACAUGCCAAUGCCACUGUUUCUACUCUCUAUGCAAGUCCGACAGGUCUUAUAAAAAUGUUCUCUCCAUCUCGUUCCUACAGUGCAAACACACUCUUCAUCCCUCAUUGUCACUGCUCAUUCAUAAUCCAGAGUGUAAACCUUUCUCUGGAAUUGUAGUAUAAUGCUUUAGAACAAAAAGAUUUAUUUUACUCCAGAGACCUAGCCACAGACUAAUAGUGAGUAAGAUGUGAAGCUUUCUGGAAUAGAACAUUGUACAGUCCCACUUGUGCUAUGUGUGACUUCCUUAAACAUCCUUGUAGUCAAAAGUUUAUUCCCCCCCAGAUACUUCCAUUUUAGAAAAAGUUGCCUUGAAUUAAUUAAAAAAAAACAAAAAACAAACGAAUAGACGAUCCUAAAAAAAAAAGAUCUACUUUAACGUUUAAAAGUGAGACGCAUAUUUAAAUGCGCAUGUAUUUCACAAAUAAUGCCUAAUAUAUUAAAGGGUUUUUGGACUGUAACUGUAGAAUUUUCUCAGCGGACAGACGCGCGAGUGCUGCGCAGAUCUCGGCGUCUGGAGGAACAUAAGGACUGUGAACACUGUUGAAUGUGUUAGUGUUAGAAAUGUUACUCUGAACUUUACAGUAGAACCAGUGCUGAAGAAUACACUGAUCUUUAUUUCAUGAUCAUUUACACCACUGGUUCUAUACCUUUACGAUGCCCUUUCAAGACUAAGAAAAAUGUUUAUUAUCGAGACUAUAUGAAUAUAAAUAUACAGGUGCAAUAAAGUUGUGGGUUUUAUUUUAUUUUUAAUUUUUCAAAUUUUUUUUUUUUUUUUUUUGAGGAGGAGGAAAAAAAAAAUUCCUCUAGCCUUGAUUCCCAGGCUACUCCUACAAAUGUAUUUGUGAACAAAUAGCAAAAAAAAAAUGUUUUUCAUUGGACUGUUCCAGUUAUUUUAACUGAUGUAUUAAGAUUUUAGUUAGUUUUCCAUGUUUGGGCUUAUAUAAGGUAGUUCAAGUAAAUUACAGACAUUGACAAUAGUUGGAUUUGUAAUGUAAUGGUCCAAAUCAGGAAAAUGCAUAAGUUGUAAUAAACACAAUGAAAAUCUUAA
RNA transcript from Tachysurus fulvidraco (yellow catfish), 5796 nucleotides. It is a transcript of the gene named ubiquitin specific peptidase 36, with no coding region annotated. The record is from RefSeq and is a predicted model, not a curated record. Lineage: Eukaryota; Metazoa; Chordata; Actinopteri; Siluriformes; Bagridae. The transcript is spliced from 22 exons.